UGGGGAAUUUUGGACAAUGGGGGAAACCCUGAUCCAGCCAUCCCGCGUGUGCGAUGAAGGCCUUCGGGUUGUAAAGCACUUUUGGCAGGAAAGAAACGUCAUGGGGGAAUACCCCGUGAAACUGACGGUACCUGCAGAAUAAGCACCGGCUAACUACGUGCCAGCAGCCGCGGUAAUACGUAGGGUGCAAGCGUUAAUCGGAAUUACUGGGCGUAAAGCGUGCGCAGGCGGUUCGGAAAGAAAGAUGUGAAAUCCCAGAGCUCAACUUUGGAACUGCAUUUUUAACUACCGGGCUAGAGUGUGUCAGAGGGAGGUGGAAUUCCGCGUGUAGCAGUGAAAUGCGUAGAUAUGCGGAGGAACACCGAUGGCGAAGGCAGCCUCCUGGGAUAAAACUGACGCUCAUGCAAGAAAGCGUGGGGAGCAAACAGG
RNAcentral lists this ribosomal RNA (429 nucleotides) under Acidobacteriota bacterium. RNAcentral's name for it is "Acidobacteria bacterium partial 16S ribosomal RNA". It matches the Rfam family "Bacterial small subunit ribosomal RNA", at positions 355 to 776 of the family's 1533-position model. Lineage: Bacteria; Pseudomonadati; Acidobacteriota. The record is from RNAcentral.